Molecule: long non-coding RNA, 1963 nt
Organism: Bombus pascuorum
Lineage: Eukaryota; Metazoa; Arthropoda; Insecta; Hymenoptera; Apidae
Exons: 2
Source: RefSeq, a predicted model, not a curated record
AAUUUUUCUAUUUAUGUGCUUGUCACUGUAUAUUCACUGAACUUUGCCUUAUGCAAAUUUUCGCCUAUCUUCUGUCGUGUUAAAGAUAUUUAGGUUCGAUUCGAUGCAAGCGAUGUUUUCUACGUAUGUAAAUCUUAUGGUACAAAUACGAUAUUAUGGUCACCAUCACGUUAUACUUCUCUUAUCCGAAUUUUACAACAAAUUAACAUUCUUUUCGAAUCCAAACGUAGUUGUUUUCCCUGAAACGUCAGGUUCUGUCAAAAUGUUUAUUUUUGUCGAAUUAUAUAACGCGUUAAAUAAGGCUUUCCGUGACAGAGUAACUGGCCGUUUUACAAAAUCAUUAUCUUUGUUCCUGUUUGUAUUUCGCUCAUAUUUACACGUAGUAUAAACUCAGUUCCAUAAAUCUUGCUAAGAUAUUUAAUCAAUUUAUCAUUGUUAUAGCGGUCGACACGUCUCUUCGGAUAAAUUAACUGGCAUAUGUCGGUGAAUUCUAUUUUGAAUCGUAGGUACGUGCUGUAUGCAAUACAGUUAGUAAUUCACUUGUUCCUAAGACUGACGUACGUUUGCUGGGUCACCUUUUGCAUGUAAGCGUAGUGUGUUGACGCGCACGUAUAUUUGCAUAUGUAUCGCGUGUAACAACGAAAUAAGUAUUUCUUUUAAUAUCCAUUUUAAAAGAUUCAAAUUGUUUCCAAUUUCUGUUUCAACGAAUACCAGAAACUAUAAACUAAAGAGUUUCAAAUAGCCGUAGCACGCGGCUCGUCGAGUUAGCGAUUAACCUGACUAACUCGAAAAUCUUUUCGCGCAUGACAAUCAUCGCUUAGGAUCUGUAUAACACAGAUACGACGAAAGUUACACCGACACGGCGUCACGUCGCCGCAAGAUGAUGCAUAUGCGUGCCCGUGUAUCUAGAGACCAGCACAGUGGUUCGCGCCGCGUAUAGACCAGCUCUGGCUGCUGGCAAGUCUUCAUCAACGUAACCAUUCGUUUCGCUCCUUUAACGCACACGCACGUACAUACAUACGUGGCGUACUUUUGCAACAGUGUGCAAAAGUUACAAGAGCUACUCAUCAUUGGCUAUUGCACGAAACAGAAAAGUAAAGAGAAAAUCCGAAUAAGCGAACUCGUUGGUACAGUCUGACAAGAAAGUCGCGGUCAAUUCUAAUUUUGUCAAUGACGCUUGGCUAGACAAGAACUCCGAAACAUAGCGGACAACUGUGACGAUUUUGCGGAAAACUACACGAAUUCUUAAUUCUUCGGUGUAACUGGAGAAUGACUGGACCGAAGCUUUAGAAUAUUUCGUGAAAUUUCUGUAAUUACGCGAAGGAAGACAGAGACUGUUUUAAUUAUACAUUUCAUAGAAAUAAUAUCAUAAGCCAUGAUUUUCUAAUUUUGAUACUGUCAGCUUACUUAAGUACUGGCAUCUUCUAUUCUCUUCAUAUGGAAUUAAACUCCUCGAAUUGUAAGGCUUACAAAAUAAAUUCUAUACGCUGAUUGAUACAAUGAUACUGAUGUAUAGCGAUACAUCUUGUUGAGAUUUACAAAUUUCGUGUCACGUUCCGGAACACGUUCCAUAACGCGGAAGGAGCCUACGGUGAUCGGUAAGAUGACGUUGCAUGUGAUACCCUAAUGAAAAUGGUAUAAACCGUGAACGAACGAGGAAAAUUAACCUCGUAGACAAGGAUAGGUGGAGUGUAAUCAUCUUGCAUGGUUGUAUUUGUUAGAUAAGGCGCUCAUUCGCGAAACAGCAACGCUUCACCUCCCAGGAAACUUGCUGACAUGAAAAUUAUCGCCAUAAAUAGAAGAAAAAUAAUUAUGGAAAUAAGCGCUUCUAGGUUGAUCUAUCUAUAUCCUAUGCUAUUUUACAAUACCAUGUAUAUCUUUAUAAUUUGCUAAAACAUUUUACAUAAAUCAAUUGAUACAACUUUUUGGAGUAGUUGAAAUAUCAAAGCAGAAAUUUUCCCCA